UACGUAGGGACCAAGCGUUGUCCGGAAUCAUUGGGCGUAAAGAGCGUGUAGGCGGCUUGUUAAGUCUUGCGUGAAAUCUCGGGGCUCAACCCCGAGCGGUCGUGAGAAACUGGCAGGCUAGAGUGCGGGAGAGGAGAGUGGAAUUCCUGGUGUAGCGGUGAAAUGCGCAGAUAUCAGGAGGAACACCCGUGGCGAAAGCGGCUCUCUGGGACGGUACUGACGCUGAGACGCGAAAGCGUGGGGAGCAAACAGG
RNAcentral lists this ribosomal RNA (253 nucleotides) under uncultured bacterium. Its description in RNAcentral is "partial 16S ribosomal RNA". It matches the Rfam family "Bacterial small subunit ribosomal RNA", at positions 524 to 776 of the family's 1533-position model. The record is from RNAcentral.